AUGUCAACUGCUGUCCCAACCGAAAGUAGUAAGCCUAAGAGGUGGAAUGCUCGUGGGAAUCGCACUGACCCUGGCUGGGAACAUGGAGAAGAAGUAGAUGCUGAGAAGAGGACAACAAGAUGCAAGUAUUGCCUUCUAGUUAAAGGUGGAGGUGUCUACAGACUGAAGCAUCACUUGGCUGGGACAAGGUUUAAUGUUGAGCCUUGCAAAAAAGUUCCCGAUGAUGUUCGAAAAAAGUUUCUCAAACUUCUGGGGGUCCAAGCAGAGAAGAAUGAUGCAAAGAAGAGGAAGUUUAACACAGAAAUGGAGGAGACAGGUGCAUGUUCGAAGGAGAAUACUCCUGCUGAUAACAAUGAAGAUGAGGCUGCGACAAAUUGUUUCGCUAACAAGCGUAGAGCCCAAACAACACUGAAUCAGUUUUACAAGAAAGAAGAGAGGUUUUAA
Molecule: ribosomal RNA, 444 nt
Filed under: Triticum aestivum (bread wheat)
Lineage: Eukaryota; Viridiplantae; Streptophyta; Magnoliopsida; Poales; Poaceae
Description: partial small subunit ribosomal RNA
Source: RNAcentral